Long non-coding RNA from Asterias rubens (European starfish), 938 nucleotides. RefSeq lists it as uncharacterized. The transcript has 5 exons. NCBI's taxonomy places the organism in Eukaryota, Metazoa, Echinodermata, Asteroidea, Forcipulatida, Asteriidae. The record is from RefSeq and is a predicted model, not a curated record.
CCCAGCCCAUUAACAAGCGUUUUCCCCAGCCUAUUAACAAGCGUUUUUUCCCAGCCUAUUAACAAGCGUUUUUCCGCCCCCUUUUAACAAGCGUUUUGUUACAGUGACUCUCCCUUUGAUGUCCAUGAGGUUAAGUGUGAAAGAAAACUAACGAUUCCUCCAUAGCUUUUGACUUUUAAUCUGCACUGUUUUAAUACCUGACCAUCUUUUUCUUUUUUUUCCAGGUCAGUGGGGUCAAUGAGGUCAGAUCCUUGCAGCAAAGGUUAAGUGCCCAGGUGAAGUAUUGGGUAAAGUAUCUGGUAAGUCUCCUCCACAGGUCAUAACCUUCCUUCAGCAUGGUAUUAAUGAUGUUUUUGUUUGUCUUUUUUCAAUAGAUUGCGACAUGUUGUCACUAAAUGUUGUUUCAAGCUUUGCAGAGACGGCUGCUUGGGGACACCGUAGCUGACAUUGGUUUGAUCAUGUUUUCUUCUUGAGGAUGAUGAAGUGUGUGUGCGAUGACAUCUUCACUGAGCCGAUGUGAUGCUUACAAGCAGGAUUAGUGGUCCUGCAGAAGAUUUGUGUUGAGCAGUCUCUUGUGGAGUGGUGACUACAUCUGGAACUGUUAGAAUGAGCAGCGUUGGGAGGACACUGGGAGUUGUGAAUGUCAACAACUGGACCUGGUUUGAUGAGCAUCAUUUUGAGGACAGGAGCACAGAUUCAACAACAGACGACUUGAUGGGCCCAAUUUUAAAGAGCUGCUAAGCACAACAAAUUUGCUUAUCAUGACAUUUCCUUCUUGUUGAGCAGUCUCUUGUGCAGUGGUGACUACAACCGGACUUUUUCAUGAGCAUCGUUUGAGGAAACAGGCGUUAUGAGACUGUAAUACUGCAUGUUGAACUGUCUCUUGUGGAGUGGCACUGAUUGAAUGAGCAUCAUUUGAGGAUAGCCUACAGGUGCAA